UCCUUAUCAAGAGAGGUGGAGGGACCGGCCCUACGAAACCUCGGCAACCCCUAUUUUAUUAGGAAGGUGCUAAUUCCUGCGUUUAAAGGCGACAGAUAAGGU
Molecule: non-coding RNA, 102 nt
Filed under: Bacillus cereus
Lineage: Bacteria; Bacillati; Bacillota; Bacilli; Caryophanales; Bacillaceae
Description: SAM-I sequence
Rfam family: SAM riboswitch aptamer (S box leader)
About the family: The SAM riboswitch is found upstream of a number of genes which code for proteins involved in methionine or cysteine biosynthesis in Gram-positive bacteria. The SAM riboswitch acts at the level of transcription termination control.
Source: RNAcentral